This 250-nucleotide ribosomal RNA is filed under the name uncultured Corynebacterium sp. RNAcentral's name for it is "partial 16S ribosomal RNA". It matches the Rfam family "Bacterial small subunit ribosomal RNA", at positions 524 to 772 of the family's 1533-position model. The record is from RNAcentral. Lineage: Bacteria; Bacillati; Actinomycetota; Actinomycetes; Mycobacteriales; Corynebacteriaceae.
UACGUAGGGUGCGAGCGUUGUCCGGAAUUACUGGGCGUAAAGAGCUCGUAGGUGGUCUGUCGCGUCAUUUGUGAAAGCCCGGUGCUUAACUCCGGGUUGGCAGGUGAUACGGGCAUGACUGGAGUACUGUAGGGGAGACUGGAAUUCCUGGUGUAGCGGUGAAAUGCGCAGAUAUCAGGAGGAACACCGGUGGCGAAGGCGGGUCUCUGGGCAGUAACUGACGCUGAGGAGCGAAAGCAUGGGUAGCGAA